This 258-nucleotide non-coding RNA is filed under the name Blautia sp. RNAcentral describes it as "T-box sequence". It matches the Rfam family "T-box leader". From Rfam's summary of the family: Uncharged tRNA acts as the effector for transcription antitermination of genes in the T-box leader family. T-boxes are found upstream of many aminoacyl-tRNA synthetase genes and some amino acid biosynthetic genes usually in Gram-positive bacteria. The record is from RNAcentral. Lineage: Bacteria; Bacillati; Bacillota; Clostridia; Lachnospirales; Lachnospiraceae.
UAAAUGGCGUAGAAGAGGAAGAGUACAGAGGAUUCGGCUUUCAGAGAACUGUUGGAUGGUGCGAAACAGUGAAUGAAGAAUUUGGAACUGCCCUUGGAGCUGCUGUCUGAACGAAAUAUAUUUCCAGUAGGAACAGACGGAGUACCCCACCGUUAUCAUGGGGGAGGAUAUAAGGUGUAGACCCGUAUCUGGCAGAGUGCAUGAAGUUAUUCAUGAAAAAGAGUGGUACCGCGUAGGAGAUAAUCCUUCGUCUCUUGA